RNAcentral lists this unclassified non-coding RNA (240 nucleotides) under soil metagenome. Its description in RNAcentral is "partial contains 5.8S ribosomal RNA, internal transcribed spacer 2, and large subunit ribosomal RNA". The record is from RNAcentral.
AACACUGUUAACCUGCGGUACCUGCGGAAGGAUCAUUACCGAGUCUUCGUACUCAAAACAACCCUUCUGUGGACCUGAAUAAAACCGUUGCCUCGGCAGGCGGCCCUACCUACGGGCCAGAUAGUUCGGCUGCCUCCAGGGAGGAAACCCUCCCUGAGGUGCUGGCGCCAGCUGCUGGCCCCAAACCAAAACUCUAGUAACUUUUACCUUCUGAGUUUUAAUGCAAGAAAUAAGUCAAAA